This 332-nucleotide long non-coding RNA is filed under the name Oryza brachyantha (malo sina). Its description in RNAcentral is "long non-coding RNA (OBRA_LNC001701)". The record is from RNAcentral. Lineage: Eukaryota; Viridiplantae; Streptophyta; Magnoliopsida; Poales; Poaceae.
UCUCUAACACACAAGUCUCGAUUGGACUCUAACCCCCUUAGAGAUAAAAUAAAAAUCCUAACUAACUCUAAUUAAUUGAUAAAUUUGCACCGCCAAGCCCUGGGUCUUCACGAUUCCUUCUCGAAUUCGGCUUCUUGUGGAUAAGAUUUUCUAUCGACGAUUGCAUCUUUUGUGAGGGUGCACCUGAAAUAAACAGAAAUCCCACAGGCCACAACUGCCCAGGAUACAGUUACGCACAGAAAAGAUAUAAAAGCAUAAGCUCAGCGAAGUACACUUACUUAGCAGCGGAAAUAUGGCAUGUCGGCUUAGCUUUUCGCAAAGACCAACCAGAC